This 497-nucleotide ribosomal RNA is filed under the name uncultured bacterium. RNAcentral describes it as "partial 16S ribosomal RNA". It matches the Rfam family "Bacterial small subunit ribosomal RNA", at positions 28 to 507 of the family's 1533-position model. The record is from RNAcentral.
GAUGAACGCUGGCGGCGUGCCUAAUACAUGCAAGUCGAGCGAACAGACGAGGAGCUUGCUCCUCUGACGUUAGCGGCGGACGGGUGAGUAACACGUGGAUAACCUACCUAUAAGACUGGGAUAACUUUGGGAAACCGGAGCUAAUACCGGAUAAUAUAUUGAACCGCAUGGUUCAAUAGUGAAAGACGGUUUUGCUGUCACUUAUAGAUGGAUCCGCGCCGCAUUAGCUAGUUGGUAAGGUAACGGCUUACCAAGGCGACGAUGCGUAGCCGACCUGAGCGGGUGAUCGGCCACACUGGCACUGAGACACGGUCCAGACUCCUACGGGAGGCAGCAGUAGGGAAUCUUCCGCAAUGGGCGAAAGCCUGACGGAGCAACGCCGCGUGAGUGAUGAAGGUCUUCGGAUCGUAAAACUCUGUUAUUAGGGAAGAACAAAUGUGUAAGUAACUAUGCACGUCUUGACGGUACCUAAUCAGAAAGCCACGGCUAACUACGUG